UCAAGCUACAAAGAGCACAAGGGGAAUGCCUUGGCACCGAGAGCCGAAGAAGGACGUGACUAACUGCGAUAAGCUGCGGGGAGCCGUAAGUAGGCUUUGAUCCGCAGAUUUCCGAAUGGAGCAAUCCGGCAAGAGGAAAGUCUUGUCAUCAUAUACUGAAUACAUAGGUAUAUGAGGGGAACCGCCUGAACUGAAACAUCUAAGUAGGGCGAGGAAGAGAAAUCAACUGAGAUUCCGUAAGUAGUGGCGAGCGAACGCGGAAGAGGCCAAACCGAGAGUAGUAAUACUUUCGGGGUUCGGACAGAAUACGGUAUUGUAAAGGUUUAGUGGAAUGGAAUGGGAAGUCCAACCGAAGAAGGUGAGAGUCCUGUACACGAAAAGCCUGAACAGCCAUCUGUAUCCAGAGUACCGCCGGACACGUGAAACCCGGUGGGAAUACGGGGGGACCAUCCUCCAAGCCUAAAUACUACUCGGUGACCGAUAGUGAAGAAGUACUGUGAAGGAAAGGUGAAAAGUACCCCUGACGGGGAGUGAAAAAGAACCUGAAACCUUGUGUUUACAAGCACCGAAAGCUCAUCAAAGAGCGAUCGGGUACCUUUUGUAGAAUGGUCCGGCGAGUGAAUGUAACCGGCGAGGUUAAGCACUUAAGGUGUGAAGCCGCAGCGAGAGCAAGUCUGAAUAGGGCGUAUGAAGUCGGUUGUAUUCGACCCGAAACCGGGUGACCUACCCAUGGUCAGGUUGAAGUAAAGGUAAAACUUUAUGGAGGACCGAACCGACUCCCGUUGAAAUGGUAGCGGAUGAACUGUGGGUAGCGGAGAAAUUCCAAUCGAACCCGGAGAUAGCUGGUUCUCUCCGAAAUAGCUUUAGGGCUAGCCUUGAAAUAGAUUACCGGAGGUAAAGCACUGAAUUGGCUAGGGGCCGAGAGGUUACUGAACCUUAUCAAACUAAGAAUGCCGGAUAAUCGUUUUUCAGGAGUCAGACAGUGGGAGAUAAGUUUCAUUGUCAAAAGGGAAACAGCCCAGACCCACAGCUAAGGUCCCCAAGUAUAGUUAAGUGGAAAAGGAUGUGGAAUUGCACAGACAACCAGGAUGUUGGCUUAGAAGCAGCCACUCAUUAAAAGAGUGCGUAAUAGCUCACUGGUCGAGUGAAGUGAGAAUCUUAAUGGCCGAAAGUCUAAGGUUUUUGGAGGAAGGUUCGUCCGCUCCAAGUAAGUCGGGAGCUAAGGUCAGGCCGAAAGGCGUAGCCGAUGCACAUACGGUUGAUAUUCCGUAACCAUCUGUAAUUUAAGCAAAGGGACACUUCAAAAGGGUGUGACCCGGGCGUUGGUUGACCCGGGCGUAAGGGACCGAAAUUAGAGUAGGGAAGCACACUUAGCUGAAGGCGAGAAAAGCUUUGCGUAUAGAAGCAGAUGCCCGUACCGCAAACCGACACAGGUGGACAGGAAGAGAAUUCUAAGGCCAGCGGGAGAAGGGUAGUUAAGGAACUCGGCAAAUUGACUCCGUAACUUCGGAAUAAGGAGUGCUCGAAAGAGCCGCAGAGAAUAGGCCCAGGCGACUGUUUAGCAAAAACACAGGUCUCUGCCAAAUCGAAAGAUGAAGUAUAGGGGCUGACACCUGCCCGGUGCCGGAAGGUUAAGAGGAGGAGUGAGAGCUCCGAAUUGAAGCCCCGGUAAACGGCGGCCGUAACUAUAACGGUCCUAAGGUAGCGAAAUUCCUUGUCGGGUAAGUUCCGACCCGCACGAAUGGUGUAACGAUCUGGGCACUGUCU
This 1767-nucleotide ribosomal RNA is filed under the name human gut metagenome. Its description in RNAcentral is "bacterial LSU rRNA". It matches the Rfam family "Bacterial large subunit ribosomal RNA", at positions 3 to 2021 of the family's 2925-position model. The record is from RNAcentral.